GUUAGCUCAGUUGGUUGGGCGCCCGACUGCAGAGCGGGAGGUCGCGGGUUUAAAUCCCGGCCGGACCA
Molecule: transfer RNA, 68 nt
Filed under: Desmophyllum pertusum
Lineage: Eukaryota; Metazoa; Cnidaria; Anthozoa; Scleractinia; Caryophylliidae
Description: tRNA-Cys
Rfam family: tRNA
About the family: Transfer RNA (tRNA) molecules are approximately 80 nucleotides in length. Their secondary structure includes four short double-helical elements and three loops (D, anti-codon, and T loops).
Source: RNAcentral